AACUCAUCGGCGACCCAGCUUCUGCGGCUUUUGUGUACUGAAAGAAAGAUGUUGCUCGCAUUGCCUUGUUUGAUUUGCAACCAACUGCAACGAUGACGAAUGCGGCAGCAAUAGCGAAGACGUUAAUCAUCUCGUAGCUCAAUCCCGAAUGCUGCGGAAUAGGUUUGAUCCAUUGGAUCUUUCCGACAAGAAAUUCGUUAACAAUUACUACGUUACUAAGGAAGUAUUCCUACAAAUACUAACUGAAAUCGAACCCAAGUUUGUUCCAAUCGGGGCAAAAGGACUGGCGGUGAAGGAAAUGUUGGCCGCAACGUUGAAGUUCUUGGCAGAGGGAAGCCACGAGAACGUUCCCGACAUGCCCACGAAUGCCACCGUUGUCCAGUCAACGUUUUCCGUCAUUUUUUUCAAAAACACUAAAAAUCAUGCAGGACCCGUUGUGUAAAUACGUUAGCCUGGCGAUGGAUCCGGCCGAGGAGCAGGAAGUACGCCAAGACUUUUACGAAACCUGUGCCAUUCCCGACGUCGUGUUAUGUGUGUGGAUGGUAUGCACGUUAAAAUGAAAGCACCAUCUCGCGAAAAGAUCGCGUUCCAUCACUGGCGAGGAUAUUACUGCUUAAACGUGUUGAUAGCAUGCGAUCAUAAGAUGAGAAUUCGCUACGUAGAUCCAAGAUACGGAGCCUCCUGCAAUGACGGUAUUGUAUAUGUACAGGGCGGAAUUGACCAGUUUUUAGAGAGAGAGAGUAUAAGCAAGGUCAAACCAAUUACAAAACUUUGGGUGAGUGUUA
This is a long non-coding RNA of Anopheles arabiensis, 785 nucleotides long. RefSeq lists it as uncharacterized. NCBI's taxonomy places the organism in Eukaryota, Metazoa, Arthropoda, Insecta, Diptera, Culicidae. The record is from RefSeq and is a predicted model, not a curated record. The transcript has 3 exons.